Molecule: ribosomal RNA, 330 nt
Filed under: uncultured Oscillospira sp.
Lineage: Bacteria; Bacillati; Bacillota; Clostridia; Eubacteriales; Oscillospiraceae
Description: partial 16S ribosomal RNA
Source: RNAcentral
GGAGUCUGGGCCGUGUCUCAGUCCCAAUGUGGCCGGCCAACCUCUCAGUCCGGCUACUGAUCGUCGCCUUGGUGGGCCGUUACCCCGCCAACUAGCUAAUCAGACGCGAGGCCAUCUCAGAGCGAUAAAUCUUUGGCAGUCAAUACCAUGCGAUAUAACUGCUUCAUGCGGUAUUAGCACAAAUUUCUCUGUGUUAUUCCCCUCUCCAAGGCAGGUUCCUCACGCGUUACUCACCCGUCCGCCACUAAGAAUUCCCAUCACUUGUCCGAAAACUCGUUCAGGGGUUCUCCGUUCGACUUGCAUGUGUUAAGCACGCCGCCAGCGUUCAUC